RNA transcript from Solanum stenotomum, 1282 nucleotides. RefSeq lists it as uncharacterized. The record is from RefSeq and is a predicted model, not a curated record. NCBI's taxonomy places the organism in Eukaryota, Viridiplantae, Streptophyta, Magnoliopsida, Solanales, Solanaceae. The transcript has 7 exons.
CUCCUCCAUUAUGCAUGCUUCAGAUAGACAAUAUAAGAGAGCUUAAAAAACUAACAUUAUAUAAGUUUUACACUAUUUUGAUUUAUUUAAAUGUACUUAGAUACUACAACCAAGUACCUCAUACUUGAUUUCUUUUUUAUUAAGUGAAAUUUCUCUUACUAAUGAAUUAACCUUUUUCAUGAUGCCUUCCUUAGGAUGUUUCAACCUGCUGCUGGUGUCUUAAUUUCUAGAGGAUCGAGGUAAGCAUAACUUAAUUUGAUAUCUCAUAAGUAUUUUUUUAAUUAAGUGAGACAUUCAACUACAAAUUAAUAAUAGUCUUAAUAAAUAAAUGUUAACUAAUGAGUGAAAUUGAUUAAAUCAUUUUAACUUAAAAUUCUUUGAUGUAGAAUUUGGAGCUGCAAAUCAAGAAGUGCACAUUGGAAUUGCAGAUUGUAGAUGCUAACAUAAGGGACUAUGUUCCAGGACCAGAGCAAGUGUCUUCUCUUCAUCAACUCUCUUGGUGUGAGAGCAACUUGCAAAAAUCUAUCCAAAAAGUUAUGGCUAAAAAGAGCCAACAACAAAAUAUGGUGGUAGAUGUCCAGCAAAAUUCAACACAAACAUUUGGACAAUCACCGAGCCAAGAACAAAACAUGGUGGUAGAUUUUCAGUAUAGUCCAACACAAACAUUUGGACAAUCAUAGGCACAAGUGACUUUGGGUGAAACUAGUGAGAACUCUCUCAUAAAAUUCUGGCAUGUCUCAACUUGGAAUAACAACUUGAAUGAUCCCUCACAAUUAGGGUUGGAGAUUGUCCAUUCAAAUUGGAAUAACAACAUUAAUAACAACAACAGUAACAAUCAGAUCAUUCAACAUAAUGAUCCUUCUUCCAUUCAAAUUGAUGCAAUAACUCCUAAUGUUAAUGGAUUUAACAAUUCAAUGGAGGAGAAUAUCAUGGAAAACAGUAAAUACUUUGCUGAAACAACACCUGAGAAUGAUGCAUGCAAAUGGGAUGAUAUCGAUGCUUUCCUCAAUGAAGCUUUGAAUGAAGAAGACUUCUGAAAUUUAGAUUGAUCAACCAAUGAAAAAAACUUUUCUUUAUCUUUAGUCCAUUUAAAAGAUCACAGUCUUUUGAUAUUUUAGUUUUAUUUUACUUAUAUCAGUAUGCAAUAUAUCAUCUUAAUGUUAGUAGAGUGGCCUAUCUAAGAAUAUUCGAAAUAAAUUGUGUUAGCAAUAUAAUAUGUAUUAAUACUUCUUAUUAUUGUCCAUUUAAAUUAUAUGGAGGUUUUGCAACAAGCUUGGAAACA